Molecule: long non-coding RNA, 171 nt
Organism: Cebus imitator (Panamanian white-faced capuchin)
Lineage: Eukaryota; Metazoa; Chordata; Mammalia; Primates; Cebidae
Exons: 3
Source: RefSeq, a predicted model, not a curated record
GGCGGUGGGCACCUGGAAUGCCAGCUACUUGGGAGGCUGAGGCAGGAGAAUCGCUUGAAUCCAGGAGGCGGAGGUUGCAGUGAGCUGAGAUCGCACCACUGCACUCCAGCCUGGGUGACAGAGAGAGACUCUGUCUCAAAAAAAAGAAAGAAAAAAAAGAAAAAAAGAACU